Molecule: non-coding RNA, 437 nt
Organism: Odocoileus virginianus texanus
Lineage: Eukaryota; Metazoa; Chordata; Mammalia; Artiodactyla; Cervidae
Source: RefSeq, a predicted model, not a curated record
AGGACUGCCAGCCUGCCGACAGCCUCCGCAGAAACUCCGCACACCCUUCUGUUGAGCGUUCUGAGGAAGUAACCAUCUUCAGACAGGGAAGUUUUUGCUGAACUGGAAAAACAGUCGGAGUGUUUUGCCUUCACUCCAUCACCGAAUAGCAGGUGUCCAGGUUCUGGUUGCCUGUUACACUUCAGAGUCAUGAAGUCUUAUUAGACAUGUUGCGUUCAGUCUGCAGAGUCACGUUUCCUACAUCAUCAUACCUGACUUCACCUUGAGGAAAUGUCGUUCAGAUUUGGCCAACAUCUCAUCAAGCCCUCGGUGGUGUUUCUCAGAACAGAACUGUCCUUUGCCCUGGUGAACAGGAAGCCUGUGGUACCUGGACGUAUCCUUUUUAGUAAGAGAGAAAACAGACCAAAUGAACACAGACAUUAACCUCUAGUAUCCAA